RNAcentral lists this ribosomal RNA (253 nucleotides) under uncultured bacterium. RNAcentral's name for it is "partial 16S ribosomal RNA". It matches the Rfam family "Bacterial small subunit ribosomal RNA", at positions 524 to 776 of the family's 1533-position model. The record is from RNAcentral.
UACGAACCGUCCAAACGUUACUCGGAAUCACUGGGCUUAAAGGGUGCGUAGGCCGCGCGGAGGGUGGGAUGUGAAAUCCCCCGGCUCAACCGGGGAAUGGCGUCCCAAACCGCCGUGCUCGAGGGAGACAGAGGUGAGCGGAACUGAUGGUGGAGCGGUGAAAUGCGUUGAUAUCAUCAGGAACACCAGUGGCGAAAGCGGCUCACUGGGUCUUUCCUAACGCUGAGGCACGAAAGCUAGGGGAGCGAACGGG